GUCCUUAUAGCUCAGCCUGGUAGAGCGGUAGAUUGAAGUUCUACGUGUCAGAGGUUCAAAUCCUUUUAGGGACACAA
This 77-nucleotide transfer RNA is filed under the name Bacteroides sp. 224. RNAcentral describes it as "tRNA-Phe". It matches the Rfam family "tRNA". From Rfam's summary of the family: Transfer RNA (tRNA) molecules are approximately 80 nucleotides in length. Their secondary structure includes four short double-helical elements and three loops (D, anti-codon, and T loops). Lineage: Bacteria; Pseudomonadati; Bacteroidota; Bacteroidia; Bacteroidales; Bacteroidaceae. The record is from RNAcentral.